This 1022-nucleotide ribosomal RNA is filed under the name Escherichia coli. RNAcentral's name for it is "partial 23S ribosomal RNA". It matches the Rfam family "Bacterial large subunit ribosomal RNA", at positions 419 to 1441 of the family's 2925-position model. The record is from RNAcentral. Lineage: Bacteria; Pseudomonadati; Pseudomonadota; Gammaproteobacteria; Enterobacterales; Enterobacteriaceae.
GGGACACGUGGUAUCCUGUCUGAAUAUGGGGGGACCAUCCUCCAAGGCUAAAUACUCCUGACUGACCGAUAGUGAACCAGUACCGUGAGGGAAAGGCGAAAAGAACCCCGGCGAGGGGAGUGAAAAAGAACCUGAAACCGUGUACGUACAAGCAGUGGGAGCACGCUUAGGCGUGUGACUGCGUACCUUUUGUAUAAUGGGUCAGCGACUUAUAUUCUGUAGCAAGGUUAACCGAAUAGGGGAGCCGAAGGGAAACCGAGUCUUAACUGGGCGUUAAGUUGCAGGGUAUAGACCCGAAACCCGGUGAUCUAGCCAUGGGCAGGUUGAAGGUUGGGUAACACUAACUGGAGGACCGAACCGACUAAUGUUGAAAAAUUAGCGGAUGACUUGUGGCUGGGGGUGAAAGGCCAAUCAAACCGGGAGAUAGCUGGUUCUCCCCGAAAGCUAUUUAGGUAGCGCCUCGUGAAUUCAUCUCCGGGGGUAGAGCACUGUUUCGGCAAGGGGGUCAUCCCGACUUACCAACCCGAUGCAAACUGCGAAUACCGGAGAAUGUUAUCACGGGAGACACACGGCGGGUGCUAACGUCCGUCGUGAAGAGGGAAACAACCCAGACCGCCAGCUAAGGUCCCAAAGUCAUGGUUAAGUGGGAAACGAUGUGGGAAGGCCCAGACAGCCAGGAUGUUGGCUUAGAAGCAGCCAUCAUUUAAAGAAAGCGUAAUAGCUCACUGGUCGAGUCGGCCUGCGCGGAAGAUGUAACGGGGCUAAACCAUGCACCGAAGCUGCGGCAGCGACACUAUGUGUUGUUGGGUAGGGGAGCGUUCUGUAAGCCUGUGAAGGUGUGCUGUGAGGCAUGCUGGAGGUAUCAGAAGUGCGAAUGCUGACAUAAGUAACGAUAAAGCGGGUGAAAAGCCCGCUCGCCGGAAGACCAAGGGUUCCUGUCCAACGUUAAUCGGGGCAGGGUGAGUCGACCCCUAAGGCGAGGCCGAAAGGCGUAGUCGAUGGGAAACAGGUUAAUAUUCCUG